UCGAUGAUGGUCGAUGAACGGAAUCUACCAAGAUCUAAACAAAUAAAUUGAUUGAUUGGGCGCUGAUUGUGCCUGAUUUAUCAAUUACAUACACCGUGAAUUGCUUUUAUUACUGUACUGACUGAUACGCAACAAGCCAGUUGCUUGUUAUUUUUGUCUUGAACAUUAACUUCUCAAAAUGUUGAGGGUAAUAGAAAAAGUCGUACCAAGGAAAUGGCCAGCAGUUAACUGCUAUUUAAAUCAUUCCCAUCGGUUGGCAACAGCAGCCCUGUCUGAGCCUCAGCAACCAUGUAUCAAAACUGCUGUGCCUGGGCCUAAAACAGUUGAAUUAUUCAAGGAACUUAAUGCGAUUCAGGUGGGCUUAAGCUAUUUACUUGUAUUUUUUUCUGUUGUAUUCUUAAGGGGCUGCACAAACGUAAAUACACUUUUUUUUCCGCAACGGCUGCCGAGUCGACGUGGUGGUGUGGUGGCGACCAAACACUUUGUUACCGACACCGCACCUUGGUACUAUUAAUUCUGUGACCGCACAUUGAAUACUGGCUACCGGCUAUGCACAGCGCGCAGUUACAAUUAAUUGUAAGGAAAGUUAAGUUGUCUACUGACGACUUAAACCCUUUUACAGUGCUAAACAGAUCGUCAUUUAUGGAAAAUCAUAAUACCAUAGUGCUAGACUAACUGUACGCACGAGUUAUUGCUUUCUACGCACUGCGUAGGUACCAGAUCGUCGGUUGAACGCGUCUUCAUAAUUCAGUCGAGCGGCGCGAUUAGUAUCAGUUCAUGAGUAAGUACUAUCAACUAUCAUCUUCAAAUCAAUAGCCCAACAUCCAUGGGGGGGCACCAGACCGUGCCUCCUCGGCCCCCCCGCUAUAUGCAGCAGUUUAAUAGCGUUUGCGAACCGUUUGCUAAUUUUUAGCUUUGGCAUUAUCAUACGAAAUAGGUCGCCAGUGAUGAUAAACAGAUCUGAAAUGUGGUCACUUACUAUGUGUCUCAUAAGAAAACUCAAGGUCUCCUAAAGAGCGAUGGAGCGUGCUAUGCUCGGAGUUUCCCUACAUGAUCGAAUUAGAAAUGAAGAGAUCCGCAGGAAAACCAAAGUGAUCGACAUAGAACUGCUAAACUCAAGUGGCCUGUAGAGCCAAUAGCCAUUGGGGCAAAAAAUUUCGUGGCGACCACGGGCCGAAAGACGUAGUGUUAAGACCGACGAUCUUGUGAAGGUCGCGGGAAGUACUUGGAUGCAGGCAGCGCAGGAUCGGUCUUUGUGGAAAUGCUUUGGGAAGGCCUUUGUCCAGCUGUGGACGUCAUUUGGCUGAAAGGAAACGAACAAACGAAAUAAGGUUUUCUUUGUCUCUUCAUUGUGUCUUACCGGGUCUUAAAACAGUACGCAGCCUCAUAAAUUAACAUUACUUCUAUGUAGGUAAGUAGUUAGUACCUACAUCUUUUCGGCAGCUUUCUGUUAAAUCUCAUUUUAUGUGUGCCAAAGGAUAGGUAGUAUCUUAGAUUACUUAAUCUGGGGGCACGGCAGUGCCCCCACCAAGUCGAGCAA
Long non-coding RNA from Ostrinia furnacalis (Asian corn borer), 1540 nucleotides. RefSeq lists it as uncharacterized. Lineage: Eukaryota; Metazoa; Arthropoda; Insecta; Lepidoptera; Crambidae. The transcript is spliced from 3 exons. The record is from RefSeq and is a predicted model, not a curated record.